AUGUGCUUGGAGUUCGGCUCGUGCUUCGGCGGCCGGAGACGGGACGACUACGGCCGCAGAAGAGGAAACGCCAACUGGUCAGCGCCGGCGUAUCCGCAGCCGCCCACCGUCAUCGUCCACGAGGCCGGGCACACGGCCUACCACGACGGCACACCGAAAGCCGAGCAUGCCGACGCCGGCAGCCACGGCGGGUGCGCUUACUUCCAAGACAAGGCUGGCAGCGAGACGCCGUCUAAGCUUCCCGCAUGGCAAAACAAGGUCGGCGACGACGCCGGCUACGGCGCGUACACAUACACGCCGCGCCACCAUGAGGCUGCGGUUGAUCAUAGGGAGCACGCCGCCAUGGAUCACCACCACUGUCUUUUUUCCCCCCUUCUCUUUCUCUGUUUGGGUUUUGGUCAGUCGUCUUCCAAUCUGCUGAAACUGAAAGGCACCUGGAGGAGUAGUGUAUCAUGCGUCCGCAGCUCAUCUACUGCUUGGAACACAACUCAGCACCCCACCAUGUUGCACUGGAUCAGCACACUUGCCAAACACACCAACUGCUAA
This 546-nucleotide ribosomal RNA is filed under the name Triticum aestivum (bread wheat). Its description in RNAcentral is "partial small subunit ribosomal RNA". The record is from RNAcentral. Lineage: Eukaryota; Viridiplantae; Streptophyta; Magnoliopsida; Poales; Poaceae.